Aegilops tauschii subsp. strangulata is the source of this 386-nucleotide non-coding RNA. NCBI's taxonomy places the organism in Eukaryota, Viridiplantae, Streptophyta, Magnoliopsida, Poales, Poaceae. The record is from RefSeq and is a predicted model, not a curated record.
GGCUGGCAAAAGCGAUGGGGAAGGUGCACUUCGAGCAUUCAUUAAGGGCCAAAAGUUAAGGCGGCUAUCAAACCUUUUCGGUUGUCGUGACCCCGAGUAUGUAUCACCAGAACGGUCUAGGUCGGCGACACCAUCAGAUCCCGCUUCGGGGCAGGGCCAUGGUGAACCUUUGGAGGAUGAGGAUGUGGGUGUGGUCACCCAAGAGGUUGCUGAUGAUAUGACCGUGGGGACGUACCAGGCUCGGUCUGCAUACGAGUUGAAGCCUAGGAAGGGAAUCAACAAGUACACACCUGAAGACUUCACCCAAAGAGGCCAAAGAGGCAAAAGGACGGUCGGCACCUCGCGGAUGGCGGCUUUGGAUGACUAUUUGGAUGACGAUGUAGAUG